CUUUAUUUUUAGAGUAGUUUUAUGUCCACAGCCAAGCUGAGUUGCAUAUGCCUUCUGCCCCAGCACGGGUGCUGCUUCCUGGACUCUCACAACCUGCUCCAUUGUGAUACUUUUGUUACCAUAGGUAAACCAACAUUGACAUGUCAUUAUCAACCAGUCAAAAGCUUGCAUUAGGGCCUUCUUGUUUGUUCUUAAUAUAGCAAGGAAUUAACACUGAGACUCACAGGUAUGGGGAGCCUAUACAGUUUCUCAGAGGAAAGUGGCACCAUUGGAUAAUUGUUGUGCAUGAGAGGUUCACUAGUUCUCUGGCAGAUUCUCCUUGUCUGACAAGAAAUCUGUCCUCAUCUUUGGAAGUUUAUUUGGUCAAGGUGCCACAGACAUCACCCUUGCCCAGCGAAGUGCAAAACAACAUUUAAACUGGUCUGAUAGCCACCCAUCUUCCUCAUCCCAUCCACCCUGAAUCCAGACCCUGGUUAAUUGAAAAGCAUCACUUUCUCUGUAUUUCUCAAACAUAUUCAAUAACUCCAGCAGUGGUUUUCCAAUACCAUCAUCCAUAGAGCCCGUUUGGUGAUGGCAAUUGAAUAUCAGUUCUGACAUACAUCCAAACUAAAAAUCUCAACUUCUUUUAAAGAGUAUUGGGUUCUGUGAUGAGCUAGAAGUGAAAUGUCCAGUCUAAAUGGGCUAGCAACGACUCAGCUCCAGAGGUUUGUUGCCAUGUGUCCCCAUUUUUAAGGAAAACAGAAUAAACCUGAUAUGUAUUAGAAAUCUAAUUUUGUUUUCAAGUUAACAACUAUAGUAGACUGCAAAACAUGGCCACACAUUCCUUCCAUCCCUGUGUGUACACCCUUUGCAAUGUGAUGUUGCUGAUUCCCCUCAAGUGAAGUCUAUGAUUCUGCACACUCAUAAGGAGUAAUAUUUGCAACUUUGAACCAAGACCCCAAGAGACCUUGCAGCUUUGGUUUUGACCCUCUCAGAAUUCUCUGUCUUCAUGUAAAAGGAGCCCAGGAUAGCUCGAAAGAGGAUGAGACCCUAUGUGAAAGAGGUCACAUAGUCACAGAAAAGCAAAGUCAUCCCAGUCAGCCUUACCAGCUGACCCAGCUGAGGCCUCUGAUGUGGAAGCUAGGACCAAAUAGCUGCCCAGUGAAUGCAGCUGAACGAGUGUGCCCAGGUGAUAUCAGAAAAGAACCACCAGGAAAAAACACAAAACUGUGAGGAAAAGUCAGUCAUUAUUGUGUUAAGCCACUGAGUUGAGAUGACUUAUUACAUAGCAAUAAAUAACAGAGAAAUCAUUAAAACACCUUGACAACCAAACAAAUGCCUCACAUGGCCAGCUAGUUACCUCUCAAGUGUGAACCCCUCGAGGACAGGAAGUGAUCUUAUUGAUUUUCGUAUUCCCAGUGCCUAUCAUUGGCUGGUAACUUAAUAUUGAAUAAAUCCUUUGUGAACAAACUAAUGUAGCCACAUGACACUGAGGACAAGCGACAACAUCUUUAAGGAUAGGGGAUUGACUCACAUGCCUUUCUGAUGCCAACAGAAAUCAAUAUUUCCCCCUGCAGUUCUAUAAUCCUGUAUUAGAGUUCUCCAAAAACCAAAAUCAAUAGAAGAUAGAGAUGAGAGGGAGAAAGAGAGAGAGAGAGGCAGCUACUGAAACUUUUCAUGGGAAUCAGCACACGUCAUUAUGGAGACUAAGCAGUCCCAUGAUCUCCCAUCUGCAAGCUGGAGAACCAGGAAAGCCAGUGGUGUCAUACAGGCCAAGUUCCAAGAAUCAAGAACCAGGAGCUCUGAUGUCUGAGGGCAGAAGAAGGUGGGUCCUGGCUGAAACAGAGAAUUUGCUCUACCUUCCCCUUUUGUUCUUUUCAGGUCCUCCAUGGAUUAGGUUAUGGCCACCCACAUUGAUGAGAGCAGAUUUUCAUUAGCCACUCUCUUGAUUCAAAUGUUAAUCUCUUCCAGAUACACCCUCACAAAUAGAGGCACCCAGAAACAUUUUAGCAGCUAUCUGGGCAUCCUUGGCCCAGUCAAGUGGACACAUGAAGUUAAACAACCACAAAUUCUCAUAAAAAGACAGUCUGUUCAAUUAAGUAGUAGUUCUAAUUGAAUGACAAAAUGGAUGGCUAAUUGAGUAGAUGGGAAUUUUGGUGACAGUGGGCUAGAUCUGAGAAGAAAAAGAGAAGGUCAUCCUAACCAGAUACAGCCUCCAAGAGACCAUGGGGGUUUCUGAUGUAGACACGAAGUGAGGUAUAAUAAGAUCCACCCCAAAUUGGGAAACUACCAAACCAGGCAAGACUAUGAGCAGUAGCUAAUGGGAUGUUAAGUCAGGAUGUGAUAGAAUUUUCAGAAUAAAGAAAACAAUACAAAAACAACCCAAAAUGGAAUUGAAAUUUAUCUCCUCUGCCUUGAAAAACCUUUUAUGUUCUAUUCCAUCACACAUGUGAAUGGAGCUGGGGAAGGGGUCAGUGGAGACUAAAAGCAAAUUCUACCCCUAUUCUACAUACACCCAGUCACUAUUCCCCUUCUCUCACUCAAUCUUUUUAGGUAAGGCCUGGGUGGUUGGAAUUGGUUAUCCUGUAUCUGGCAACCCCAAGAGGGAAAAUAAACAGUAUCCAAACAGAAGCAUGAAUCCUAGGACCUUUGAUUAAAAGUCUGAAGUUCAUUCUCUGGGCUGUCUGACUGCCUCAUUUGAAGGCUGCCCUGGAUGUUUACUUUUAAUUUGAUUUCACCCAUGUGAUAAGGAAUCAGCUGCAAUGUGGUGAAAGGGGUCAUUGAACCUGGAGUUAGGAGAUAGGGCUUCAAAUCCCAGUUCUGUCCUUAGCAAACUGUGUGACUCCAGACUUUACUUAAGUCCUCUGUGCCUCAGUUUCCUCAUCUUGGAGACCAACUGCCCAAGAUCUUUGGGAGACAAUUAAAUGAGAUGAGCUAUGGAUGUAAAGGGCUUGUUGAGGUGGCUGGAACAGAGUGAAUCUUCCUUAAGUGUUAUGUCCUUCUGCCACUGCCUUAGUCUUGCUUUGGAAUGGCAGCAUUUCAGUCAGAACACGUAAAGCACUCCCCUACUGCGCAUCACAACAGUGGCAGCUUUUGUGAUUAGCUGCACAAGGAGGUACAGAGUCAUAAGCCCUGCCUCUGCUCUUCAGGACUUUGAAACUAGCAGAGGAAACCGGGAGACUUCCCUAAAAAUACAAUUAAUGAUGCAAAUCUAUGCUUAUUAAGGGCCAAAAGACUAAUGAUUCUGAGAAAGAGGAACCACUCUGCGUGGGUGGUCUGAGAAAAUGCAGGAGGACAUGACAUGGACUGUGAAGUUCACACAGGAACAGAGAGUUUCUUUUUCUCAUCUUUCUCAGAUGCUGUUUCACUGCCUACCCCUCCUCCACCUUGUCACUGCUGCCGCCUGGUGUCAGUCACCUUCCUAGCACCUAUCUGGGUGAUAACCUCUGAGGCAGUCUAGGAGGAGAGGAGCAACACCCAGCACAGGAACCCACCAAGCAGGACUUGAAGCUGAGCCAGGUCCCACUGGGAAGAAGGGGUCUCUCCCCUCCAGAUUCCCCUGCCGCCGCCAGCAACUGCCUGGCUGGAGGGAAGGAAAGAAACCAAGGAGAUUUACUGUGCUGCAAAAACUCUGCAUCCUGUGACACGACACGUGCAAACAGACACGGGGCUGCACCCUCCCAGGCGAAGGUCUGUGCACAGCAGACGUGGGGCUAGUGUCACAGAUCCAAGGCUUUAGAACGGCUUGCUCUGCCCCCUGCCAGAGCCCCAGCUUCUCUCUCUUGUGGGCUGCUUCCCUUCAACAGAGAUGUAUACUCAGAUCUUCUCACAUAACAAAAGCUAAAAUCCCAAUGCUUUUCAAGAUUCAGGGUUAGGUGUUUAAUAGAAUGUCCCCCCAGGUGGGGUUUGUCUGAUGUUUUUUUCAUGAAAAGACUAAGUUUAUGGAUUUGGGGAAGAGGGCCACAGAGGUGAUGUGCCCUUCUCAUUAAGGCACAUCAGGAGGCACGUGAUGUCAGCAUAACUCAUUGCCCAUGAUGUUAACCUUGACCAUCUAUCUCAGUAAGGCACCGUUUGUGAGGUUUCUGUACUGAAAAUUUGAUAUAUUCCCUUCCCAUACUCUGUUUAUGAGAAGCAAGAGAAAUUAAUUUCCACCUCCUGGAGAAAGGGGUAUCAAAUAAUUUAUGCAGUGUGUUAAAAUCACCCAGUAAGUAGUAGGUGUAGGGUAGACCGUUGAGGGUUUUUCAAAUAUCCUGUUCUUCCUUAAAGCUUCAUUUACUGAUCUAGCAUUCAUCAAUGAAUCUUGCUUAUAGCAAUCAUGAUUGUGAUGGCCUAACAGUGAUUUUCUACUUCCUUCAUGCCUUCUACAUUGACUUCUGAAUUCUUCUGCAAGGAAGAUUUGUCCCUCCUCCCCCAUUUAGUUAUGUAUUUAAUCAUUUAUUUAUAUCCAUAUGGAUUUAUAAACAUCUAUUUUAUUCUUAGAGUUAUAAUUCAAUAUUAUUAUUGUUUAUUACACUGCUUUAAUUGUUUCAGCUUGGCCAUUGGGAGCUCCUUCAUUUUGGCUCAUGUGGCCUUUUUAUAUGCUCCCCUCCCCUUUUUUUUUCUUUUUUUAGUAUUUUCUUAUUUUAUGGUACUUCAAGUUGCUUCAGGAUCAUCUUGUAUGUUCCCUGCCUCUAGUAGUCCAUCUUUUGUUACUAUUAUGAAAUAGUUUUGUAAAGAAACAAGUUCAUUUAGCUUAUAGUUUGGGAGGUCUAAAGUCCAAGAUCAGCUGGUCCAGCCUCUGGUAAGACCUCAUGGUAACAACACACUUGAGAGGGCAGGCCUCGAAACAGGAGAUCAGAAAGGUUGGGCCCCACAGUCCCAUUAGAGGACAUGUCCCCGUUGAGAGCCUCCCACUAGGACCCACUUCUAAAAGAUUCCACAUCACCCACACUGAGGACCAAGUCUCUAACACAUGAGCUUUGGGAAACACACCUAAACCAUAUACAAACCAUAGCACUGCCCCAGUUCACGAAUUAGCCACUUUUCCAAGGAAGCUUAGUCCAUUUUAUUGGGAAACCAAGGUCUGAAGUGUUAAGUGUGCCUGAUGCUAAUGGAGCGUGACACUUAUAUCAGGCCCUCAUGGCAGACAAAGCUAGCAAAACUAAAUACACACACACACACACACACAGAGUACAACAUAUCUAUAUUUAUCUCUGCAUCUGUUUGAAUGUGCAUAUACACACAUACACCCACAUAUAUAGAAUCUGUGGAUUAUAAAUCUAUGUAUACAGAUCUGUGUCUAUUUAAAUCUAUUACACAUAUAAUAUCAUGUGCGUAUGUCUGUAUUUAAAGGGAACAUGAGCUCAUACUGAUGUCUACAACUCAAAACCAGCUACACAGGUUUCCUUCUAGCCUCCCCAUCCCACCACCAUAACAACCUCCCUCUUUCUCUGACUGUGAGAAACUUGCCUCCCAUUGUAUACAAUUUACCUACUUAUUUAUUCAACACCAGUAUACACAUAAAGUAAUUUCAUUAUCACUACCUAUAACCCAGGACAAAUUUACAAUUGUUUACUUAUGAGUCUUUAUUCCUACAGUAUCUGGUUAAAACAUUGUCUUCCAAAAUUAUUUAUUUCAACUCCUCCCACCAGACAAUACCAUCAGCCAUAUAUAUAGUUCCAUAUAUGUGGUAUAGUUAGAUUCACAUGUUACAUAUGUUAAAUGUUAAUUUUAUCCUGGAAUUGAAUGAUUCUAUAUACUGUUAAGUUCAGUCUUUAUAGAGUUCUGUGGGUUUCAACAGUUUCUUAGUCUUGUGUUCAUUACUCUGGUACCUUACAGAACCGAUCUAUUGCCCUACAAGUUCCCAUGUGCUGUCCAUUUGUGGUCAACCACUUACUGUUCCCUAACUACUUCCCUGAAAAACCACUGAUCUAUUUUCUAUCAUUUUCCCUUUUCAAGAAUGACAUAUAAUAAAACCACACCAAUUGUGACCAUUCAAUCUUGGAUAUUUCCAUAUUUAAUAUAUCUAUUUUGUUUUUAUGAUUCAAUAGUUCAUUUGUGUGUGUGUGUGUGUGUGUGUGUGUGGUACUGGGGGUUGAAACCAGAAGCAUUCUACCUCCAAGCUACAUCUCCAGCCCUUUUUUAUUUUAUUUAGAGACAGGGUCUUGCUAAGUUGCUGAGGCUGGACUUAAACUCAUGAUCUUCCUGAAUCGGCCUUCCAAGUAACUGGGAUUAUAGGUAUGUGCCUCCAUGCCCAGCAAAUCUAUUCAUUUUUUAUUGCUAAAUAAUGUUCCAUUAUAUGGAUAUACCACAGGUUUUCUGCUUAUUAACAGAAGAACAUCUUGAUUGUUUUUAGUUUUCAGUGAUUGUGAGUAAAACUAUAAAUCUAUAAAUCUUUGAGAACAAUCUUCUGUGUGAGUGUAAAUUCUUGAUUAACUGGGGAAAAUAUCUAAAGGAGAUAUUGCUGAUGGUAUUGUCUGGUAAGCCUAUGUUUAAU
RNAcentral lists this long non-coding RNA (6454 nucleotides) under Marmota monax (woodchuck). Lineage: Eukaryota; Metazoa; Chordata; Mammalia; Rodentia; Sciuridae. The record is from RNAcentral.